CUCGAAUGGCCUUCACUACCCUGGAGAAUAACACUACAGAAAUGGGACACCCUACGGUCUUGCACCCCUUAGCGAGAACGCGCAAUUGAGGGACACAAGGGCGCAAGUUGCGGAUAUUGGGGCAGGAACACGAUGCAUCAGUGUUGCACCAUUUACCCCAAAGUUAUAUUCCCCAAAGGUUAUGUUUAAUGCGAGGCCAGUGGGCCAUAAUUCCAUAGUCAUACAUUUCUAUCUAAAAAACAACUACAUAUAUCUGAAUUUCGGCUGUGGUUUCAUUGUGCUUAAGCGGUUCAAUUGUACGGUUAAACUCAACAGUCAAAGUAGAAGAAUGCACCACGGGAAUUUAGAAUCACUUCGUAAAACUUUAUUUAAAAAAGGAGGAGCCCAAGCACGUGACGUGUUCGAUGGAGUGAAUAAAAAGCGUAGGACGCCAGCAAUCGUCCCACUUCCUUCUCUGAUCUGGUCGAGGUAAGGUUACUUUCUUUUCCCCCACUUUCUACAAACGAGCGCCUUUUAAGGACAUUUUUCUGCAUUAACUUUUGGGUUUUAUAAGGCGCGCCUUGAUACAUUUUAUCCUAAUGGCGGAUUAGAUGCAGUCGGCUACUGGAAACAAUCUGAUGCUCAGCAAUUUAACACUGAGGCCAGAAAGGAAAAGGACAAACUUGCUGGUUUGUUCUGUGACUGGAGGAUGUUGGGCUCUGUUAUAAUGAUGGGUUGUGCUGGUUCAUGUUCUGUGUCCGGAGUCUGACUUCUGAAUUGCCAUUGUACAGCUGUUAUGAGUGCUGGACAGAAUUCCAGACUACAAGACUGCAAUCCCUGAUGUGCCUUGAGUUCAGACAUGGGUAGUUCCAGGAUCUCGGGCAUUAAUUGGUUGUUGCCCCUUUGUGGUCAGUGGACUUGCAGUCUUUACUGAACUCACUGGAGUUUACUGUCCUCACUGAAGAUUGUGGCAGUUCUGGGUUGCAGAGUUAUUCAGGUGUCAUGAGGCUGAGAAGGGAUGUUACUAAGAUGUUCCCUCCGUUAUGCAACUAAGCCUAGAUGGACUCAAGGUUCUGCCUUCCAGACCAGUAAUUUGAAAAUAUUUGCUGUGGACAGUGAAGUCUAAAGAACCCCCUCAACCAGCAGUGAUGUCUUGCUGUGGUUGGAACAUUGCUGGCCAUUUCAACACUUUUAACCUUAAACAUGGAUUUCUAACAUUUCCAUGUUUUCUUUUGUGGUAAAUUAAUGUGAGUUAGUAGUGAACUUACAGCACUGGUGUGUUUGAUGGGUCAAUAUUGCUGUAAAUGUUGAUGCAAAUUUUUGUCUUUGUCGCCAUCUGCAUGCUGUUCUGUAGGACACAAUUGGAUGUUGAUGGAAUGACUUAAAUAUUAGCUACAGCUGAUGCGUAAGUGGAGUAAUGUCUGCAUACAUUUAUCAAUCUUGAGCUGCCUGGCAAGGGUGUUGUAAUGCUGCUGCUCUAUGAAGUGUAUAGUUAAAAUGAAAUGAUUAGGGGUGAAAACAGUCAUUGUUCUGGAGCAUGUGGAUAUGCUACUUGUCUAAACAAGAAUAAAACAUUGUCAUAAUAUGGAUAUUGCCUGAUUUCUUGAUGGGUUUUUAGGAUCUUUCAUCCAUGGAGGCACUAGCCAGGGUUUGUUCAUUUUAUAAAUACUAUUAAGCUUUGUUCCAAUACAAUUUUAUUCGCUACCUGGCAGAUGGUGGUACGUUUAAUUUAAUGCAGACAAAUGUAACUCGGUCUGUAUAUAAAACAAAACUAAGUUUAAUUUGUAUAGUCUUCAUGGACUGUUAAAAUGCUGUUUAGAUGGUCUAAUGCAUCAUGUCCAGAACAUUCUAUUAGCUGUUACCUAAUGUAAGGUAAUUCAUACAU
Esox lucius (northern pike) is the source of this 1864-nucleotide long non-coding RNA. The record is from Ensembl. Lineage: Eukaryota; Metazoa; Chordata; Actinopteri; Esociformes; Esocidae.